AUUGAACGCUAGCGGCAUGCCUAACACAUGCAAGUCGAGCGGAGUGGCGGACGGGUGAGUAAUGCCUCGGAAUCUGCCCGGUAGCGGGGGAUAACUUCCGGAAAGGGGCGCUAAUACCGCAUACUAUCAGAUCAGCCGAGGUCGGAUUAGCUAGUUGGUGGGGUAACGGCCUACCAAGGCGACGAUCCGUAACUGGUCUGAGAGGAUGAUCAGUCACACUGGAACUGAGACACGGUCCAGACUCCUACGGGAGGCAGCAGUGGGGAAUAUUGGACAAUGGGCGAAAGCCUGAUCCAGCCAUGCCGCGUGUGUGAAGAAGGUCUUCGGAUUGUAAAGCACUUUAAGCUGGGAGGCGUUACCAACAGAAUAAGCACCGGCUAACUUCGUGCCAGCAGCCGCGGUAAUAC
Molecule: ribosomal RNA, 407 nt
Filed under: uncultured bacterium
Lineage: Bacteria
Description: partial 16S ribosomal RNA
Rfam family: Bacterial small subunit ribosomal RNA
Source: RNAcentral